CUGGGAAGGCCCUGGAAGGAGCCUGGGCUGAGCCCAUCACCAUCGCGGCUGAGGCAGGAGAAGGAGGCCUGGACUGGGGAGAGCGUGCCUUGAGGAGAUUGCAGGGACAGUGGUUCCUCUGACUGGAGUUUGGGGGAAUGAACUUUUGGGAGACAUCUCACAUCCAAACCAUAACACCUUAUAAGAAGAUAAAAUCUGGACCCAGGGAGGGACCCAGUGGUGUAUGUAUACAGAGGAGCCACCAGGAGAAGAGACAGCCAAAGUACAGCCAUCUGCAACCCAGAGAGAGGACUCAGAGGAAACCACCCCUGCCAGCACCUUGAUCUUAGACUUCCAGCCUCCAGAACUGAAUAAAUGGAAUGUGACCAUGUAGCACAACAGGAUGUACCUUGCUAGCAGACAGAUCUGGUGUGGGAUUCCGACUCUCCUUUUUUUCGGGCGUAAGAUGGUGGGUGAGGUUGAGAAGCUCUUGUGUCUGGUGUUCCUGAUGUGAUCCAAGAUAUCCUUGAUUUAGUUUGAUCUGGAACCUUGCUGACCCAGUAGGGACACCCGCCCAGGGCUGGCCCACUCCUAGACACAGUGAGCAGGCCCUGAGAAACUGCAAUAGAAGCCCUGACCCACAUUUGCCCCUGCCCUCUCCGUCUCUGGACUCACUGUGCGGACCCACACCCCACCAGAAGUUGCCUGGUGAUCAAAGAAAUCAGAACUUCUAUAAGAUAACCAACUGAAAAGGAAUUGUCUUGUCACUGGAAAAGGAUGUAUCGGGAAGGAAAGAUGGUGGACUGAGACAGACAUCAUUACCCUGUGUACAUGUAUGAUUACACAAAUGGUAUGAAGCUAGAUCGUGCACAACCAUAGAAAUGAAAAGAUGUACCCCAUUUGUGU
Long non-coding RNA from Sciurus carolinensis (gray squirrel), 885 nucleotides. RefSeq lists it as uncharacterized. Lineage: Eukaryota; Metazoa; Chordata; Mammalia; Rodentia; Sciuridae. The transcript has 7 exons. The record is from RefSeq and is a predicted model, not a curated record.